UACGGGGGGGGCAAGCGUUGUUCGGAAUUACUGGGCGUAAAGGGUCUGUAGGUGGCCAACUAAGUCAGACGUGAAAUCCCUCAGCUUAACUGGGGAACUGCGUCUGAUACUGGAUGGCUUGAGUUUGGGAGAGGGAUGCGGAAUUCCAGGUGUAGCGGUGAAAUGCGUAGAUAUCUGGAGGAACACCGGUGGCGAAGGCGGCAUCCUGGACCAACACUGACGCUGAGUGAGCGAAAGCCAGGGGAGCAAACGGG
RNAcentral lists this ribosomal RNA (254 nucleotides) under uncultured bacterium. RNAcentral's name for it is "partial 16S ribosomal RNA". It matches the Rfam family "Bacterial small subunit ribosomal RNA", at positions 524 to 776 of the family's 1533-position model. The record is from RNAcentral.